This 497-nucleotide ribosomal RNA is filed under the name uncultured bacterium. Its description in RNAcentral is "partial 16S ribosomal RNA". It matches the Rfam family "Bacterial small subunit ribosomal RNA", at positions 28 to 507 of the family's 1533-position model. The record is from RNAcentral.
GAUGAACGCUGGCGGCGUGCCUAAUACAUGCAAGUCGAGCGAACAGACGAGGAGCUUGCUCCUCUGACGUUAGCGGCGGACGGGUGAGUAACACGUGGAUAACCUACCUAUAAGACUGGGAUAACUUCGGGAAACCGGAGCUAAUACCGGAUAAUAUAUUGAACCGCAUGGUUCAAUAGUGAAAGACGGUUUUGCUGUCACUUAUAGCUGGAUCCGCGCCGCAUUAGCUAGUUGGUAAGGUAACGGCCUACCAAGGCAACGAUGCGUAGCCGACCUGAGAGGGUGAUCGGCCACACUGGAACUGAGACACGGUCCAGACUCCUACGGGAGGCAGCAGUAGGGAAUCUUCCGCAAUGGGCGAAAGCUUGACGGAGCAACGCCGCGUGAGUGAUGAAGGUCUUCGGAUCGUAAAACUCUGUUAUUAGGGAAGAACAAAUGUGUAAGUAACUAUGCACGUCUUGACGGUACCUAAUCAGAAAGCCACGGCUAACUACGUG